AAAGGCCCUAUCUGCCUUGCGUGGUCAUGCAGGACCUAUCCCUUUCCUUCCUCAUGUAUUUUGUCUGAACUUAAAGUAGCAUUUUAUUGAGUCACUUUUGAAGGAUGAAUUCAGAAGUAUCAUGAAGAACCUACCUGUUCAGGCUUAAUAGCCAGAGUCCUAUAGAGUUCUUAUAGAAACAGAAUAACUGAAACUCAGCAUAUACUAUGCUUAGAAAGUAUUGCAUUUUGUUUUGGGUUUUCCUUUUACAUGUGGAUGUUAUUGUAGGAAUAUAGUUUUUAUCCUGUGCCGAUUCAAAAUAGAGUGUUGUAAGUUUCCCCAGGCCCCUAUCUGCCAAAAAGAAACAUGCCCAGAUUUUGUAAGAUGUGUACCCCCUGCUUGUACAUGUACUGUGUACAUGCACUGGGAAAUCUACCUAAGAGUCUUCACUGAGAAGCUAACCUUGAUAGACCGGUGUUGAUGGAGGAGAGAAAAACAAUGGUUUGGAGGCAAAUACUGCUCUAACCUGGUGGUCCCACCCAUUCCUGAACCAAUGAAAGUGGGAGA
RNAcentral lists this long non-coding RNA (546 nucleotides) under Bos taurus (domestic cattle). RNAcentral describes it as "long non-coding RNA NONBTAT005781". The record is from RNAcentral. Lineage: Eukaryota; Metazoa; Chordata; Mammalia; Artiodactyla; Bovidae.